RNAcentral lists this ribosomal RNA (349 nucleotides) under uncultured Pseudomonas sp. Its description in RNAcentral is "bacterial SSU rRNA". It matches the Rfam family "Bacterial small subunit ribosomal RNA", at positions 1034 to 1382 of the family's 1533-position model. The record is from RNAcentral. Lineage: Bacteria; Pseudomonadati; Pseudomonadota; Gammaproteobacteria; Pseudomonadales; Pseudomonadaceae.
ACAGGUGCUGCAUGGCUGUCGUCAGCUCGUGUCGUGAGAUGUUGGGUUAAGUCCCGUAACGAGCCGCAACCCUUGUCCUUAGUUACCAGCACGUUAUGGUGGGCACUCUAAGGAGACUGCCGGUGACAAACCGGAGGAAGGUGGGGAUGACGUCAAGUCAUCAUGGCCUUACGGCCUGGGCUACACACGUGCUACAAUGGUCGGUACAAAGGGUUGCCAAGCCGCGAGGUGGAGCUAAUCCCAUAAAACCGAUCGUAGUCCGGAUCGCAGUCUGCAACUCGACUGCGUGAAGUCGGAAUCGCUAGUAAUCGUGAAUCAGAAUGUCACGGUGAAUACGUUCCCGGGCCUU